Culicoides brevitarsis is the source of this 511-nucleotide long non-coding RNA. RefSeq lists it as uncharacterized. The record is from RefSeq and is a predicted model, not a curated record. The transcript is spliced from 2 exons. Lineage: Eukaryota; Metazoa; Arthropoda; Insecta; Diptera; Ceratopogonidae.
AUUCCGCAGUCAAAACAAAGUUUUGUCCAGAAAAAGUUUUAUUUUAUCGCAUUUUUAGAGAAUUUUAAAAGUUAUUGAGUGCUAAAAGUAUUAAAAACCUUUUAAAUUAACCUAAUUUCAUUCAAACUUCCAUGGAAAUGGAUCGCAUUCCCGGGACAUCUGAAGAGAAAUUGUCAACCCAAAUACCGCAAAUAUCCCAAAAUGAGAGGCAAAACAUCCAAAUUUUGUCGAAUAUUCAAGUGAUUUUUGUGGAUUUUAAUGGAAAUUCUGCCAAAGAAACCAUCUGUGAUGAGGAAUUGCUGGAAACAGUUCCCAAAUUGAUUUUGAUAAUUUAAUACUGAAACACAUUCUGCUGAAGCCAAAGUCUAAACGUCCACCGAUGCCAAAGAAGAGAAAAAGUAAACUUCGAAAAAGUCCAAGAUUGUUGAAAAGUCGCUAAUCCACCUGUAGAUUUAAGAAUUUUAAAGUAAAAUUUUGAAAAAAUUUUGCACUAAAGUGUCAAUUAAUUUUA